Molecule: long non-coding RNA, 1298 nt
Organism: Pseudopipra pipra
Lineage: Eukaryota; Metazoa; Chordata; Aves; Passeriformes; Pipridae
Exons: 2
Source: RefSeq, a predicted model, not a curated record
ACCGCCGCCGCGCCGCGGGGGGGACGCAAGGGGAGCACGGCCGCUCCUCAGCCAGCCUGCCCCCGGCAAACCUCGCCCUCGGCGCCCGGGGAGCGCGGCCGCUCUGCGCUACCACUGCGCGCCAGCUCGCGUCUCCCGCGUUAUCCCGCGUUAUCCCGCGUUAUCCCGGGAUCUUUCCCCCGAGGCGCGCCUUGGCUCAGCCCAGCGCUGCGGCCGCAGUGUUUGUUCAUCCCCUAUUCACGAACGCCGUUUGCGCUCAGCUCCCCGCGCAAGCGCCGUUGCCCGCCCGUCUUUGCAGCGGCGCUACGCAGAGUGCGUACGGCGCCCGACCCUUACGGAGGCACUACGCAAACGGCGUACGGCACCCGACCCUUACGGAGGCACUACGCAAACGGCGUACGGCACCCGACCCUUACAGAGGCACUACGCAAGUGGCGUACGGCACCGGACCCCUAAAGAGGCGCUACGGAAACUGCGCACGGCACCCGCCCCUUACAGAGGCGCUACGCAAACUGCGCACACCGUGAGGGGCGCUGGGGGGGGGUGAUGAAAUGGCCGCGGGGGAAGCGAGGAGAGAGAAGGGGUGGCCCGGGGCCGUCACCGGGCGCUGUAAAAGCGCCGGGUCUCUCUGCCAGCGCCUGCUGCCGCCCUUCCCCCAUAACUCCAGGCUGGGGCCGGCGGUGCGGGCGGGGAGUGGUGACCUUCCCGCGGGUCCCACAAAAUGGUGCCCGCGCCUCGGCGAGGGGCGACAGCGCCUGCCCCCUCAGCGGCCCCACGCCGGGGCAGUCUGUUCUUGAGCCUUCAGGAUGUUUUUUAAAUUCCCUUUAGCCUUUCCAGCGGAAUCGGUGCUUUUUCAUCAGUAUAGUGAAAAAUUUGAACAGAGACAUUCAUUCUUGUAGUUUGGGGACUGCCCCAGUUACUCGUGCUGGGCCUUGGUCCUUCUGCUACAAAUUUCCCCUGGUUUUCAAAUCCGUUUUUUUGGGGGUUUUUUUUUUGGGUUUUUUUGGCCCUGUAUAUAACAAAUCUGACAGUGACUUCCCUGUUCACCUCUUCAUGGCCAAUUUGUUUAUAAAAAAUGAGCUCAGCAUUGCCCAAAUGGUUCCAAGUAAAGAUUGUGCCUGAACAAGGGCAGCAACUCCCAUGUGAGAAUUCCAGCUAAUGUGGCUCCCUUCACAUCUGGAUUGUCCCUGAUCCACAGACUGAGACACUGCCCUGGACAGACCAACGAGCUCAUCCCAUACCCAGUCCUGCAAAUCAAAAUCCAAAGCCUUUAUUGAAACAUUUUAUUGAUACCUACA